RNAcentral lists this ribosomal RNA (606 nucleotides) under uncultured Chloroflexota bacterium. RNAcentral describes it as "bacterial SSU rRNA". It matches the Rfam family "Bacterial small subunit ribosomal RNA", at positions 310 to 929 of the family's 1533-position model. Lineage: Bacteria; Bacillati; Chloroflexota. The record is from RNAcentral.
GAACGGUGUCUGCGGGUCGACGAUUCCUACGGGAGGCAGCAGUGAGGAAUAUUUGCGCAAUGGGGGAAACCCUGACGCAGCAACGCCGCGUGAACGAUGAAGGCCUUCGGAUCGUAAACUUCUUUUCUGAGGGAAAAUAACUGAUGGUACUUCACGAAUAAGUCACGGCUAACUACUGUGCCAGCAGCCGCGGUAAGACAGAGGGGGCGAGCGUUAUCCGGAUUUACUGGGCGUAAAGGGCGCGUAGGUGGCCUGGUAAGUUGGAUGUGAAAGCUCUCUGCUUAACUGAAAAAGGUCGUUCGAAACUGCCGUGCUUGAGGUUGAAAGAGGAUGGUGGAAUUCCUGGUGUAGUGGUGGAAUGCGUAGAUAUCGGGAGGAACACCGGUGGCGAAAGCGACUCUCUGGUCCACGACUGGACGCUGAGGUGCGAAAGCGUGGGGGACGAACGGGAUUAGAUACCCCUGGUAGUCCACGCCCUAAACGAUGGAUACUAGGUGUAGGAGGUCAUUUACCCCUUCUGUGCCGAAGCAAACAUUUUAAGUAUCCCCUGUGGAGACUACGGCCGCAAGGCUAACUCUCAUGUGAAUUGACAAUCUCUCUAGGAUC